GGAGGGGUGGCGGAGCGGUUCAACGCAGUCGUCUUGAAAACGACCGGCCUCGCGAGAGGCCCGUGGGUUCGAAUCCCACCCCCUCCGCCA
Molecule: transfer RNA, 90 nt
Filed under: Dehalococcoidia bacterium
Lineage: Bacteria; Bacillati; Chloroflexota; Dehalococcoidia
Description: tRNA-Ser
Rfam family: tRNA
About the family: Transfer RNA (tRNA) molecules are approximately 80 nucleotides in length. Their secondary structure includes four short double-helical elements and three loops (D, anti-codon, and T loops). Further hydrogen bonds mediate the characteristic L-shaped molecular structure. tRNAs have two regions of fundamental functional importance: the anti-codon, which is responsible for specific mRNA codon recognition, and the 3' end, to which the tRNAs corresponding amino acid is attached (by aminoacyl-tRNA synthetases). tRNAs cope with the degeneracy of the genetic code in two manners: having more than one tRNA (with a specific anti-codon) for a particular amino acid; and 'wobble' base-pairing, i.e. permitting non-standard base-pairing at the 3rd anti-codon position.
Source: RNAcentral